GAACCAUUCUGCAGCAUGGCUGCCUGUGGAUCCUCUGGGGAAAGGUAAAUGCUGCAGAAUCGUACCG
This 67-nucleotide microRNA precursor is filed under the name Danio rerio (zebrafish). RNAcentral describes it as "Dre-Mir-734_pre stem-loop". The record is from RNAcentral. Lineage: Eukaryota; Metazoa; Chordata; Actinopteri; Cypriniformes; Danionidae.